CGUGUCUCUAAGAGUUUGAUCCUGGCUCAGGAUGAACGCUGGCGGCGUGCUUAACACAUGCAAGUCGAACGAUGAUCUCCAGCUUGCUGGGGGAGUAUGUGGCGAAACGGGUGAGUAACAUGUGAGUAACCUGCCCUUGACUCUGGGAUAAGCCUGGGAAACUGGGUCUAAUACCGGAUAUGACUGCUCCGCGCAUGCGGUGGUGGUGGAAAGCUUUUGCGGUUUUGGAUGGACUCGCGGCCUAUCAGCUUGUUGGUGGGGUAAUGGCCUACCAAGGCGACGACGGGUAGCCGGCCUGAGAGGGUGACCGGCCACACUGGGACUGAGACACGGCCCAGACUCCUACGGGAGGCAGCAGUGGGGAAUAUUGCACAAUGGGCGGAAGCCUGAUGCAGCGACGCCGCGUGAGGGAUGACGGCCUU
This 422-nucleotide ribosomal RNA is filed under the name uncultured Micrococcaceae bacterium. Its description in RNAcentral is "bacterial SSU rRNA". It matches the Rfam family "Bacterial small subunit ribosomal RNA", at positions 1 to 418 of the family's 1533-position model. Lineage: Bacteria; Bacillati; Actinomycetota; Actinomycetes; Micrococcales; Micrococcaceae. The record is from RNAcentral.